This 505-nucleotide ribosomal RNA is filed under the name uncultured bacterium. RNAcentral's name for it is "partial 16S ribosomal RNA". It matches the Rfam family "Bacterial small subunit ribosomal RNA", at positions 28 to 507 of the family's 1533-position model. The record is from RNAcentral.
GACGAACGCUGGCGGCGUGCCUAAUACAUGCAAGUAGAACGCACAGUUUAUACCGUAGCUUGCUACACCAUAGACUUUGAGUUGCGAACGGGUGAGUAACGCGUAGGUAACCUGCCUGGUAGCGGGGGAUAACUAUUGGAGACGAUAGCUAAUACCGCAUAAUAUUGAUUAUUGCAUGAUAAUUAAUUGAAAGGUGCAAUUGCACCACUACCAGAUGGACCUGCGUUGUAUUAGCUAGUAGGUGAGGUAACGGCUCACCUAGGCGACGAUACAUAGCCGACCUGAGAGGGUGAUCGGCCACACUGGGACUGAGACACGGCCCAGACUCCUACGGGAGGCAGCAGUAGGGAAUCUUCGGCAAUGGACGAAAGUCUGACCGAGCAACGCCGCGUGAGUGAAGAAGGUUUUCGGAUCGUAAAGCUCUGUUGUAAGAGAAGAACGGGUGUGAGAGUGGAAAGUUCACACUGUGACGGUAUCUUACCAGAAAGGGACGGCUAACUACGUG